RNAcentral lists this ribosomal RNA (253 nucleotides) under uncultured bacterium. RNAcentral describes it as "partial 16S ribosomal RNA". It matches the Rfam family "Bacterial small subunit ribosomal RNA", at positions 524 to 776 of the family's 1533-position model. The record is from RNAcentral.
UACAGAGACUGCAAGCGUUAUCCGGAAUUAUUGGGCGUAAAGAGCUCGUAGGCGGUUUGUCGCGUCUGCCGUGAAAGCCCGGGGCUCAACUCCGGAUCUGCGGUGGGUACGGGCAGACUAGAGUGAUGUAGGGGAGACUGGAAUUCCUGGUGUAGCGGUGAAAUGCGCAGAUAUCAGGAGGAACACCGAUGGCGAAGGCAGGUCUCUGGGCCGCAACUGACGCUGAGGAGCGAAAGCAUGGGGAGCGAACAGG